Molecule: transfer RNA, 73 nt
Filed under: Heliconius melpomene (postman butterfly)
Lineage: Eukaryota; Metazoa; Arthropoda; Insecta; Lepidoptera; Nymphalidae
Description: tRNA HMEL012297
Rfam family: tRNA
About the family: Transfer RNA (tRNA) molecules are approximately 80 nucleotides in length. Their secondary structure includes four short double-helical elements and three loops (D, anti-codon, and T loops).
Source: RNAcentral
GAACGUAUGGCUUAGUUGGUCAGAGCGCUUGAACGGUAUCCAAGAAGCGCGGGUUCAGACCCCGCUACGUCUA